GACGAACGCUGGCGGCGUGCUUAACACAUGCAAGUCGAACGGAAAGGCCCUGCUUUUGUGGGGUGCUCGAGUGGCGAACGGGUGAGUAACACGUGAGUAACCUGCCCUUGACUUUGGGAUAACUUCAGGAAACUGGGGCUAAUACCGGAUAGGAGCUCCUGCUGCAUGGUGGGGGUUGGAAAGUUUCGGCGGUUGGGGAUGGACUCGCGGCUUAUCAGCUUGUUGGUGGGGUAGUGGCGUACCAAGGCUUUGACGGGUAGCCGGCCUGAGAGGGUGACCGGCCACAUUGGGACUGAGAUACGGCGCAGACUCCUACGGGAGGCAGCAGGGGGGAAUAUUGCACAAUGGGCGGAAGCCUGAUGCAGCAACGCCGCGUGCGGGAUGACGGCCUUCGGGUUGUAAACCGCUUUCGCCUGUGACGAAGCGUGAGUGACGGUAAUGGGUAAAGAAGCACCGGCUAACUACGUG
Molecule: ribosomal RNA, 468 nt
Filed under: uncultured bacterium
Lineage: Bacteria
Description: partial 16S ribosomal RNA
Rfam family: Bacterial small subunit ribosomal RNA
Source: RNAcentral